This is a long non-coding RNA of Liolophura sinensis, 657 nucleotides long. RefSeq lists it as uncharacterized. The record is from RefSeq and is a predicted model, not a curated record. Lineage: Eukaryota; Metazoa; Mollusca; Polyplacophora; Chitonida; Chitonidae. The transcript is spliced from 3 exons.
CGAGUUAUGGCUGCCCAGGACGCGGCUGGACCAACAAUGGUGAAAUAGGGCGAGACACGUGGGCCGAACAGAACACAGGAGCUGCCCAUAACGAAGAGGCAUGCCUGUCCCGGGCCGUGGCGCAGUGGGACUACUGUGGGAAUGGAAGGGACGACACUGUAGUCAGCAUAUAUCGACCAACAGGUGCCCGGAAAAUUGCUGGUUACGGUUGUUGGAUAGAGGUUCCGAAAUGUCCCAAUGACCAUAACGUCAAGUCUCUGUUCUUCGAUGCAUGGGGAGAUACAAAUCAAGAUACAGGCGCGGACGAGCUGUCCUGUUUCUCCAGGGCGACCUACUACUGGCACCACUGUGGCUCUGACAAGUCCUCUCCAGUUACGGCACAUUACCGACCCAAAGCCACCUCGACAACAGUACCAUAAUCAGCUACAUACAUACAGAACUUUGCUAAACUUGAAAAUUACAAAAGUGAAUAACUAAAGCAUUAAUCUAUGCAAUAUCAAAAAUAAAAUAAGAUCACGGAUGCUCCAAAAAUGUAAGAUGGUUCAUGGUUUUCAAACGUAUGUGUGUUUGCGAGGUGUUUAACAUGUUUAUGGAGAACUUUGUCAUUAGCUCGCUCAUAUCGGAUUUGUGUCAUCUCUUAUCACAACGGACAUAUUU